CCUCACCGAGCAAGUGGGUAGCGGGGAAGGGACCAGAGGCUGCAGGCCUGCGAGUGAGAACGGUCUCUACGUGCCCAUCCAGGGAGCUGAACUUCUUCCUUCAGCAGAACCUGAACACCCAAGCGUUUCCCUCCAAGAUGAGGAAACCGAGAUCCAGAGAAGAUCCAAGACCACGCUGUGGGCUGCAGGUUCAGCCAAGCCUGAGAGCCUGUGGCAGGGUUUAACAUAAAGAGGACAUGAGGGGCACCUGGGUGGCUCAGUGGAUUAAAGCCUCUGCCUUCUGCUCGGGUCAUGAUCCCAGGGUCCUGGGAUAGAACCCCGCAU
This is a long non-coding RNA of Mustela lutreola (European mink), 324 nucleotides long. RefSeq lists it as uncharacterized. NCBI's taxonomy places the organism in Eukaryota, Metazoa, Chordata, Mammalia, Carnivora, Mustelidae. The transcript is spliced from 3 exons. The record is from RefSeq and is a predicted model, not a curated record.